Mytilus trossulus (common blue mussel) is the source of this 507-nucleotide long non-coding RNA. RefSeq lists it as uncharacterized. NCBI's taxonomy places the organism in Eukaryota, Metazoa, Mollusca, Bivalvia, Mytilida, Mytilidae. The record is from RefSeq and is a predicted model, not a curated record. The transcript has 3 exons.
GUCAUAAAUGGCUAUCACUUCAGUAUUUUUGUUGUAAAAGGAAUAACUGUGUUUUACUCAAGAAGUACGAUGAAGAAUCUGAUGCUGAUUGUCUUUAUGCUGUUUUCAACAAUAGAUAGUGUGUAUUCUGAUCAUACUGCGAAUUGUGCUUGUCCAGCGCAUCACGACCCAGUUUGUUCCACAACUGGUCAUACUUUCAGUAAUUUAUGUGAUCUCAGUUGCAACCAUGGUAUUUUAGCUUGUCACCGUGAAUGUCCAUGUUAUUCUUAACAACAUUGAGAUGACAGAAUCACGAAUUGGACAGAAGUGAGUUUGACUUAUUCCCGAAUGUGACUGUUUUUCUGAGUGUUAAUUUGUAUUGCUUGAAGACGUGGCACGGUACUUAUCCAUCCAAAACUAAUUUAUUGGGUUUUGAUGUUGUGUUUGCUGUUGCCAUCAGAUUUUUUCAAAUGUUUUAACGUUUGUAGUUGUAAAUCGUAUUUUUUCUGUUGUAUUAUUGUGUUGUAU